GGGAGGGGGGAGGGAGGGCAGCCGGCAGGGGCGAGGCAGACAAUGAGGGUAGCUGUUUGCUACUCUGGCAAGGAGCCUUCGCAGGGCUCCCUCUGUUUUGGAAACAUGUUAGGGUCAAGGAGGCAAAAGUGGCGACCUGGCCAGGAGGUUUCUCCCGGCUCCUCCCCUGGGCAUCUGGCGCAAAGACCUACUGCUGGGUCCGGUCUGGGGGGAUGCCCUCUCCAUCCCACAGGGCCCCCGGGUAGGACAGUAAGUCCCAGGAAGGUGCCAGGGCAAGAAAAGAGACAAAUCAGGCAGAACAGAACAGCUAAUUAGAAGCCCGGGUCCACACCCUAACAACUUUUCCAUUUCUUCUUUGGGAGUGUGUAUGUAAAAGAAGAAAAAAAAAGGUUUAUUUUUAUAAAAUUAUGUUCCACACUCCCUGCCUCUGUAUAGCUUUUCCAACUCAGUGCCAGUCAAUUCAUCUUACUUCACUGCUUAUAUACAGAGUGUGAGCCGUUUACAAUAGCUCUUAUUCAUACUUUUUAAAAUCGCCUUUAAUUUUUUUUUUCUUAAAUGUGAUUGUGACCCAUCUCCUGGGCUGCACUGGAGUCGCCUUGGUCCGGAGCGACUGUCUGCUUCAAGCCUGCACCUUCCUCAGGAGACAUGAUGCCUGGAGAUACAGCAGCCAUCUUGCAACCUUGGGGACAAAAGCCACUCACUUAAGGAUGGUGGAGCAGGGACGUCCUAGGUGGCAUCUGUAAAGAGCUGUACCUUCUUGUUAGGUGACAAAAAUAAACUCCUAUGUGUUCAGGUUAU
Molecule: long non-coding RNA, 798 nt
Organism: Myotis daubentonii (Daubenton's bat)
Lineage: Eukaryota; Metazoa; Chordata; Mammalia; Chiroptera; Vespertilionidae
Source: RefSeq, a predicted model, not a curated record